This is a long non-coding RNA of Leopardus geoffroyi (Geoffroy's cat), 3759 nucleotides long. RefSeq lists it as uncharacterized. The record is from RefSeq and is a predicted model, not a curated record. NCBI's taxonomy places the organism in Eukaryota, Metazoa, Chordata, Mammalia, Carnivora, Felidae. The transcript has 3 exons.
AGCCCUGUGUCAGGCUCCACGCUGAGCAUAGAGCCUGCUUAAGAUUCUCUCCCUCUCUCUCUCUCUCUAGCUCUCUCUCUCUCUCUCAAAAAGGAGAUCCAUCUAGAAAAUGUCUUGCUUUUAAACCAGUUUAUUUAUUCAUUAUUAUAAUUCUUAAAAAUUCACUCGUCAGCAAAAGCUCCUGACUUGGCAAUAGACAGUAAGAUGUUAUCUGGCCGCCAGCCAAACCAUCUUAAAACAUAAUCACUCUUUCAACACUGUUCCUUUGAGCGUGACUGACCCAUGAGCACUUCUGAACAUUGAGUGCAGCUGAGGUCCAAGCGCUGUUUUGCCUCCCAUGUCAGAGGCCCCUGAACCCUCACCCUUCUUUCGGACUCUCCUGUGUAAUAUGUAGAUUUUGUGCAGCUCCUAACAGCUCUCGGCACUCCGGCCUUUGUUUACCGUGCACAUGGGCCAGCGCCCUUCUCUCAAAAACAGGAAAAUUGUAUUGUUUUGGAUGAGAGGCUAAUGGGGACUUUGGAAGGAAGCUAACUAAGGGUGUGUAGGAGCUGCUGCACAGGAGGGGUCAAGAGCUGGGGGAGAGUGGCCAGAUUUCAGAAGGUCACUUUGGUUUAGGAAGUGAAGCUUUGUGGGAGGGGGGAAAGGUGAGCAUAUGCGUAGCCAGCCAUGUCAGCCCGGUCCGAUUUCAUGGUGGUGAUUACUGAGUGAUUUCUGGAUUAGCCUUUCACACGUGCAGGUUCAUUGAGCACUGGCCACUUCCUUCUCCUUGUUUUCUUUGCUUUUGAAACUUUUGCCCCACCUCUCUUUUUCCCCUCACUCACUCAGGAAGAUUUACAUGCAGACAUUUUUAGGUUGGCAGGGAACGACAGCUUCUCAGAAAAUGUGUGGCACCGUGCGGUAAGGUGAUAUUAGACCAAGGCACAAGGCUCGCAUUCCCCUUGGGAUGAACCUAGUGAGCACGAAGGACAGAGAAUGCCCAGCAAGGCCAGGACCGGUGAGACCUGUGUAUGAAAAAGUCUAAAGAUGGUGUUCGUCUACCCAGGUUGCUAUUUACUGCCUCAGAAGGAUGAGUCAUUCUCUGUUUACACUGAGGGACUGAAGUUAUGCCUGUUUGCGGCGAGCAGUGUAACCAAGUCGUGAAGAUGCCAUGACAGUAACUGCUCUCUGGGCGUCUCAGAAUCUCAGAGCCUCCAACUCUGGACGGAACUUGCUACAGGAGACGCCGCCCCCUGUAGACUGGGCGAAAGGAGCUCUACUAAGAAAUAAACCAAAUUUAAAAAACAAACAACCCCCUCCAACCCUGCCUAGGGCUUUUAAAGAAUACAGAACUUUCCAGCAGCCAAGUGGCAUUGUCAGCGGUGGGCUAGGAUUUUACACCCCGUAGGAACCGAACGGGGAUGUGCGGGGAUCUGAGGGAAUAAUAUUAAUGGCUUGAGUUGGUCCCAGAUGGAAGCUCGCUGUGUUUAUACCAAAACGCUGCUCUGCUUCCUUACGAGGAAGAUAGAGGCUCUGUUGAGUCGUUUAAGCAAAACCUUGCAGAGCACAUGUGGCCGUCUGGGAUUUGCAACAGAAGAACAAGCCAGUGGGAGAAGGAAGGGAGAGAGAGCCAGGUCACAGGAGGCAAUGUGGUAGACACUAUGAGCGUCUCCUGGUGUCUCAGCGCUUCCCAAACUGCUGGUCCGGGCAAGCCACCUGAAUUCUCCAGAACGUGCAGGUUCUGACAAGGCAGGUCUGGGGCGGGGCUUGCAAUGCUUCAUCUCUAACAAGCUCCCAGGUGACGCCAAUGUUGCUGGCCCCUGAACCACACUUUAAGUAGCAAGGAGUCAGGGUAACUGCUUCACCUAUCCUCUUCCUUGGUCGAGCCCUAAAGGUCAGGUGCUUACCUGCACGGGGUUCAGGUGAGAGUAACUCCCGCUCAGUCCCACCGGGCAAGCAUGUUAAUCAGCCCAAGCCCAUCAUGGUAAUUCUACUCCCUUUGCCAGUGAUUGGCUCGGGACGGGCCAUGUGAGCCAUCUUGGUCAAGGAGAGAAAAGGAAAACCGUCGGGGGUGGGGAGAAAGACAUGUUUAGAAAGGCCUUUUUUUUUUUUUUUUCUUUUCUUUUUGCUCUGAUAAAGCUUCCCAGGAUGGCUGUUUGCCACUUCCUGGUUUUGGAGAUUCCCCGGUGAGGAUGGGAUUCUUGGAGCUUCUGUGCUUAGUCUACAAGUUUAAGGAGAGAUCUCCCUGGCCCCUUCCCCCUACCUCUCCGUUAGAUCCUGUCUUUGUCCGCACCUACCCUCGUUGAAUCUUCCUUCAACAAUAGAAUCCCAUGGGGAGCUAUUUUGGACCCUCUUUUCAUCUCUCAUUCUUCACGUUAGAGUUUUCAAACUGUGGGUAGCAACUCACCGGCAGGUCAUGAAAUCACCACAGCAGGUUGUGCCCAGCACCGGGAGAAAGAACAGAGUAUCCCUGAACGUUCCCCGUGGUAGAGGUAAGAUUUGGUCAGGUUCAUUUGCGUUGGUGACGUAUGCGGGAUAGAAAAUGUAUUUCUUAUUCUAGGGCCUCCUCGAACGUUGAGAUCUACAGGUUUUUGCACUCUCGUUCAUUGCUAGGAUUCUCAAACCUCUCUCUACUUCCGUUUCUACCUGCAUGUCUUUCUUGGUUCCAAAGCUCUGUCUUCACCCACCCGCUCACCAUGUGCACUCGGAAAGCUCAGCAAUCCACAUCGCGAGCUCAGCUCAGCACUAUCCCUUUCAGGCCUGCACCGUGCUCCCUCACCACCCACUCCACCCCUCCUCCUCGCUGCUCAUGUGUUAGGAAAGGGCACUACCAUCACCCCCGCCUAGUCCAACUGAAUCCUGGGAGUCCUUCUUGGCCCUUCACACCCAACAUACUGCCUUUACGAACUUGGUUUAUUUCACUCCUGUGCCUCUUUCAACAAGGUCUCUUUCAGAUACCUUUCGCCUCUCCCCAUGAGUGCCACCCUUCUGAUCCCAAGCACUGUCUUCUUGCUUCCUAACUCAACCUCUCCACGUCUUCUCUCACCCCUUGGCAAUCCGUUCUCAUGCUGCGGCCAGAGGGACCAACUAACCGUGGCACCUCCCUAUGAAAUCGAAGGGUGAAGCCACCAAUCAGUAAACUGGCUGGGAAGGAAGUCCGUAACUGGUUUCUCACCAUCUCCUCUGUCUGGUCCUCACACGUGCCAUCUGGGGCUCUCGCAGCCUUUCGAAUGUUCUGUAUUGCCUCACGUUUGGGCCCCUGGAGGUUCUCUUCCUCCCAGGAGCUCUCUUUUGCCAUCAUCUCUUAAUGACUCAAACCUUCCUUGCUUGUUGAAAUCUCAGAUGGCUAUAAACUCUUCAGGAAAGCCUUCCUUGGCUCCUGAAUAAGAUUGGGUCAUUCCAGCAUAAAGCACAGCAUAAUUGGAAUUAUUUACUCAUCGUGAAGUCUUUUUCCCUAUAAGACUAUAUACACUUGAUCCAGGCAAGGACCGCAUCUGCUCUGUCUCUGCCCUGGAACCAUAGCACAAAGCCCAGGGGCUGAUACAUGGUAGUGGUUCUUUCCUUUUUAAAUAGAUAAAAGUGUUUAAGACCUUUCUUGGAUUAAUUAUGACGACCAGUUGUGAAUCAUUUUUACAGAGCAGCCAAUGGCCUGAAAGUGGUAUGUGGCCAGUUGAAAUAUCCUGGGAGGUUUACACCUGGUUUUUUUGUUUUUUUAGUUUAUCUUGAGAGAGAGCAAGACCAUGAGCAGGGGAAGGGCAGAGAGACAGGGAGAGAGAAAAUCCU